GGGACACGUGGUAUCCUGUCUGAAUAUGGGGGGACCAUCCUCCAAGGCUAAAUACUCCUGACUGACCGAUAGUGAACCAGUACCGUGAGGGAAAGGCGAAAAGAACCCCGGCGAGGGGAGUGAAAAAGAACCUGAAACCGUGUACGUACAAGCAGUGGGAGCCUCUUUUAUGGGGUGACUGCGUACCUUUUGUAUAAUGGGUCAGCGACUUAUAUUCUGUAGCAAGGUUAACCGAAUAGGGGAGCCGAAGGGAAACCGAGUCUUAACUGGGCGUUAAGUUGCAGGGUAUAGACCCGAAACCCGGUGAUCUAGCCAUGGGCAGGUUGAAGGUUGGGUAACACUAACUGGAGGACCGAACCGACUAAUGUUGAAAAAUUAGCGGAUGACUUGUGGCUGGGGGUGAAAGGCCAAUCAAACCGGGAGAUAGCUGGUUCUCCCCGAAAGCUAUUUAGGUAGCGCCUCGUGAAUUCAUCUCCGGGGGUAGAGCACUGUUUCGGCAAGGGGGUCAUCCCGACUUACCAACCCGAUGCAAACUGCGAAUACCGGAGAAUGUUAUCACGGGAGACACACGGCGGGUGCUAACGUCCGUCGUGAAGAGGGAAACAACCCAGACCGCCAGCUAAGGUCCCAAAGUCAUGGUUAAGUGGGAAACGAUGUGGGAAGGCCCAGACAGCCAGGAUGUUGGCUUAGAAGCAGCCAUCAUUUAAAGAAAGCGUAAUAGCUCACUGGUCGAGUCGGCCUGCGCGGAAGAUGUAACGGGGCUAAACCAUGCAC
This 774-nucleotide ribosomal RNA is filed under the name Escherichia coli. RNAcentral's name for it is "partial 23S ribosomal RNA". It matches the Rfam family "Bacterial large subunit ribosomal RNA", at positions 419 to 1194 of the family's 2925-position model. The record is from RNAcentral. Lineage: Bacteria; Pseudomonadati; Pseudomonadota; Gammaproteobacteria; Enterobacterales; Enterobacteriaceae.